AAUAGAUACCCGGGUAGUCCACGCCGCAAACGAUGAGAACUAGAUGUUGGUUGGGGAACCAAUCAGUAUCGAAGCUAACGCGAUAAGUUCUCCGCCUGGGAAGUACGGCCGCAAGGUUGAAACUCAAAUGAAUUGACGGGGGCCCGCACAAGCGGUGGAGCAUGUGGUUUAAUUCGAUGCAACGCGAAGAACCUUACCUACCCUUGACAUCCUGCGAAUUCUGAAGAGAUUUGGAAGUGCCGAAAGGAGCGCAGAGACAGGUGCUGCAUGGCUGUCGUCAGCUCGUGUUGUGAGAUGUUGGGUUAAGUCCCGUAACGAGCGCAACCCUUGUCCUUAGUUACCAGCAAGUAAAGUUGGGGACUCUAAGGAGACUGCCGGUGAUGAACCGGAGGAAGGCGGGGACGACGUCAAGUCAUCAUGGCCUUUAUGGGUAGGGCUACACACGUGCUACAAUGGGGCGUACAGAGGGUCGCCAACCCGCGAGGGGGAGCCAAUCUCUUAAAGCGUCUCGUAGUCCGGAUUGGAGUCUGCAACUCGACU
This 540-nucleotide ribosomal RNA is filed under the name uncultured bacterium. Its description in RNAcentral is "bacterial SSU rRNA". It matches the Rfam family "Bacterial small subunit ribosomal RNA", at positions 777 to 1317 of the family's 1533-position model. The record is from RNAcentral.